AUUGAACGCUGGCGGCAUGCUUUACACAUGCAAGUCGAACGGCAGCGCGGGGCAACCUGGCGGCGAGUGGCGAACGGGUGAGUAAUAUAUCGGAACGUACCCAAGAGUGGGGGAUAACGUAGCGAAAGUUACGCUAAUACCGCAUACGAUCUACGGAUGAAAGUGGGGGAUCGCAAGACCUCAUGCUCCUGGAGCGGCCGAUAUCUGAUUAGCUAGUUGGUGAGGUAAAGGCUCACCAAGGCGACGAUCAGUAGCUGGUCUGAGAGGACGACCAGCCACACUGGAACUGAGACACGGUCCAGACUCCUACGGGAGGCAGCAGUGGGGAAUUUUGGACAAUGGGCGCAAGCCUGAUCCAGCAAUGCCGCGUGAGUGAAGAAGGCCUUCGGGUUGUAAAGCUCUUUUGUCAGGGAAGAAACGGUAGAGGCUAAUAUCCUUUGCUAAUGACGGUACCUGAAGAAUAAGCACCGGCUAACUACGUGCCAGCAGCCGCGGUAAUACGUAGGGUGCAAGCGUUAAUCGGAAUUACUGGGCGUAAAGCGUGCGCAGGCGGUUUUGUAAGUCUGUCGUGAAAGCCCCGGGCUCAACCUGGGAAUUGCGAUGGAGACUGCAAGGCUUGAAUCUGGCAGAGGGGGGUAGAAUUCCACGUGUAGCAGUGAAAUGCGUAGAGAUGUGGAGGAACACCGAUGGCGAAGGCAGCCCCCUGGGUCAAGAUUGACGCUCAUGCACGAAAGCGUGGGGAGCAAACAGGAUUAGAUACCCUGGUAGUCCACGCCCUAAACGAUGUCUACUAGUUGUCGGGUUUUAAUUAACUUGGUAACGCAGCUAACGCGUGAAGUAGACCGCCUGGGGAGUACGGUCGCAAGAUUAAAACUCAAAGGAAUUGACGGGGACCCGCACAAGCGGUGGAUGAUGUGGAUUAAUUCGAUGCAACGCGAAAAACCUUACCUACCCUUGACAUGUCAGGAAGUCCGGAGAGAUCUGGAUGUGCCCGAAAGGGAACCUGAACACAGGUGCUGCAUGGCUGUCGUCAGCUCGUGUCGUGAGAUGUUGGGUUAAGUCCCGCAACGAGCGCAACCCUUGUCAUUAGUUGCUACGCAAGAGCACUCUAAUGAGACUGCCGGUGACAAACCGGAGGAAGGUGGGGAUGACGUCAAGUCCUCAUGGCCCUUAUGGGUAGGGCUUCACACGUCAUACAAUGGUACAUACAGAGGGCCGCCAACCCGCGAGGGGGAGCUAAUCCCAGAAAGUGUAUCGUAGUCCGGAUCGCAGUCUGCAACUCGACUGCGUGAAGUUGGAAUCGCUAGUAAUCGCGGAUCAGCAUGUCGCGGUGAAUACGUUCCCGGGUCU
This 1350-nucleotide ribosomal RNA is filed under the name uncultured bacterium. RNAcentral's name for it is "bacterial SSU rRNA". It matches the Rfam family "Bacterial small subunit ribosomal RNA", at positions 28 to 1381 of the family's 1533-position model. The record is from RNAcentral.